This 1006-nucleotide ribosomal RNA is filed under the name Beauveria sinensis. RNAcentral describes it as "SSU rRNA". It matches the Rfam family "Eukaryotic small subunit ribosomal RNA", at positions 94 to 1110 of the family's 1831-position model. Lineage: Eukaryota; Fungi; Ascomycota; Sordariomycetes; Hypocreales; Cordycipitaceae. The record is from RNAcentral.
UGGCUCAUUAUAUAAGUUAUCGUUUAUUUGAUAGUACCUUACUACUUGGAUAACCGUGGUAAUUCUAGAGCUAAUACAUGCUAAAAAUCCCGACUUCGGAAGGGAUGUAUUUAUUAGAUUAAAAACCAAUGCCCUCUGGGCUCCUUGGUGAUUCAUAAUAACUUUUCGAAUCGCAUGGCCUUGCGCCGGCGAUGGUUCAUUCAAAUUUCUUCCCUAUCAACUUUCGAUGUUUGGGUAUUGGCCAAACAUGGUCGCAACGGGUAACGGAGGGUUAGGGCUCGACCCCGGAGAAGGAGCCUGAGAAACGGCUACUACAUCCAAGGAAGGCAGCAGGCGCGCAAAUUACCCAAUCCCGAUUCGGGGAGGUAGUGACAAUAAAUACUGAUACAGGGCUCUUUUGGGUCUUGUAAUUGGAAUGAGUACAAUUUAAAUCCCUUAACGAGGAACAAUUGGAGGGCAAGUCUGGUGCCAGCAGCCGCGGUAAUUCCAGCUCCAAUAGCGUAUAUUAAAGUUGUUGUGGUUAAAAAGCUCGUAGUUGAACCUUGGGCCUGGCUGGCCGGUCCGCCUCACCGCGUGUACUGGUCCGGCCGGGCCUUUCCCUCUGUGGAACCUCAUGCCCUUCACUGGGUGUGGCGGGGAAACAGGACUUUUACUUUGAAAAAAUUAGAGUGCUCCAGGCAGGCCUAUGCUCGAAUACAUUAGCAUGGAAUAAUGAAAUAGGACGUGUGGUUCUAUUUUGUUGGUUUCUAGGACCGCCGUAAUGAUUAAUAGGGACAGUCGGGGGCAUCAGUAUUCAAUUGUCAGAGGUGAAAUUCUUGGAUUUAUUGAAGACUAACUACUGCGAAAGCAUUUGCCAAGGAUGUUUUCAUUAAUCAGNAACGAAAGUUAGGGGAUCGAAGACGAUCAGAUACCGUCGUAGUCUUAACCAUAAACUAUGCCGACUAGGGAUCGGACGAUGUUAUUUUUUNGACGCGUUCGGCACCUUACGAGAAAUCAAAGUGCUUGG